Long non-coding RNA from Papaver somniferum (opium poppy), 162 nucleotides. RefSeq lists it as uncharacterized. NCBI's taxonomy places the organism in Eukaryota, Viridiplantae, Streptophyta, Magnoliopsida, Ranunculales, Papaveraceae. The transcript has 3 exons. The record is from RefSeq and is a predicted model, not a curated record.
UAGCUGUGGAGGAUCGUGUCCGUACUCUUGAGGGAAUGAAUGGUGGUGGUCAAGUACUAUUCAUUUUGGACCUUCUUAUGUGCAGCAGUGGGAACAUUCUUUAACAUCUAUAUUGGCGGGAAGUACGAGACAUAUGUUUGUAAUUUGAACCAAAAUCGUACG